This 253-nucleotide ribosomal RNA is filed under the name uncultured bacterium. RNAcentral's name for it is "partial 16S ribosomal RNA". It matches the Rfam family "Bacterial small subunit ribosomal RNA", at positions 524 to 776 of the family's 1533-position model. The record is from RNAcentral.
UACGUAGGGUGCAAGCGUUAAUCGGAAUUACUGGGCGUAAAGCGUGCGCAGGCGGUUAUGCAAGACAGAUGUGAAAUCCCCGGGCUCAACCUGGGAACUGCAUUUGUGACUGCAUGGCUGGAGUGCGGCAGAGGGGGGUGGAAUUCCACGUGUAGCAGUGAAAUGCGUAGAUAUGUGGAGGAACACCGAUGGCGAAGGCAGCCCCCUGGGUUAACACUGACGCUCAUGCACGAAAGCGUGGGGAGCAAACAGG